ACAGAGGCGACACAACACGGAGAGUGGCAGUUAUCAGUUAUAAGCUACAAUGUACACAUGAAGUAAAAGCGUAGUGCAAGGAACCACCCUGACGUUCUUUCGCCCAUGCAGGGCAGAAUCAGUGCCAGGGCUGGUUAGCCGGACACGCGACGCCGCGCCCAGCGCUUACUCCAAGACAUCGCAGCAGCAGUGCGAUUGGGAAGUUCUAGCUUCACCCGGGCCUUCGGCUAUGGCCUGGUCUGUGUCAGCUUUUUAUGGCUGUCUCAUUUUGUUCUCUGACACUCUGUGCUUACUGUGGCGGUGGGAUUGCCAGCAGGCGUUCCUGCUGCCAUAGUGUAAGCGAAUUGCAAAGCCUCUUUACCAGCAUGGCGGCUGUUGUAGGCAGUCCCUGUCUCAGAAAUUGUGUGUGCUCACAAUUCUCUAAGUAAUGUACAAGUGUGGCAUUCGACUCGCCGCAAACUUGUGUGUUUCCUUUACUGUGUUGUACUCUUCCUUAAUAAAGAGUAAAUCCCUUUAACCACAAUCACUGUCCAACCAAUCAUAGCCUCUCCAUCCUUUCUCUUUCUCUCUCUCUCUCUCUCUCUCUCUCUCUCUCUCUCUCUCUCUCUCUCUCUCUCUCUCUCUCUCUCUCUCUCUCUCUCUCUCUCUCUCUCUCUCUUUCUUUUUUCUCUCCCCCCCUCUCUCUCAUGUUCGAAGGCUUUAUUGAUUUACUGAACUUUUCUGUUAAGUCUAACAUUUUAAUUACUUUCAGUGGUUGUAAAUAUGUUGCAAGGAAAGUGGCUUGCAACUAUGGAGAAGUUAACACACGAAUUGUGCCAAUUGUUGUUGGAGUCCUUCUAGGCAUGAUUAAUAUUUCUUUGUGGUUCUGGGCAAGAAAACCAUUGUGAAUCCAGUCCUCUAUCCAAACGGCUGAAGGCACUGGAUUCCUUGCUAGUAAAAGAGUUGGCACACCUAUCUGAGACAGCUGCACUUUAAAGACCCUGGCAGCACCAUACUCUCCUAUAAAUCCAGCCUCCGAUGAUCCCCCAUCAUAUGAAGAAGUAAUUUCCACUGUAUAAACAUAGAUGAGUUGGCUUCUUUGAGUAAAUCCAAACAAAUGGGAUAUUGUCAUUCAUAGUUCCAUCACUCAAUAACCCCGUUAGUUUAGAAUUAACUUGUUUAUCAAUAAUACUUGCAAUGCUGAUUAUCAGCAUACUACUUACAUUAUACAGUUAAUGGUUUAAUGAACUUUACAUUCACAUCAAAAAAAGUAUUUUGUUUGUAUAGUUCCUUCACAGAAGAAAAAUAUUAAACAAUUACUGGGUAUGAGCAAUAAAAAAUAAACCAGGCAUUUUUCUUUUCAUAACAUACUGUAAUAAGUAGAAUGUCUAUAAUCUGUACCAAUUCAGCUUUCACCUUGUUUGGAUAUCAUUAUAUUGUGCCUACUAAUAAGAUAUUUUUUUUCAUUUCAUUGUCUACAGUUGCCAUUGUAAUUUCCAAAUACAGAAUGUUGGAUUAAAUAUGUACACAUGGGUAAUGGUAAGCUUAACACCUUUGAUUAUUCUGAAUUUGCGUACUCAGUAUGGAGAAUUAUUCCAAUUUUAAUCCUUAUAUGUAAAAUCUGUAAUAUCCAGCUAAGAAAAAAGAAAGAAAAAAAAAUCCCAUUCUAUAGAAAUAACGGUUUUCCAGAUAUUUUCUACAUUCCUUUUGUCAUCAAUCAAGAGGAUUUUAGAAAACAAUUAACAUUACAUU
Molecule: long non-coding RNA, 1731 nt
Organism: Penaeus indicus
Lineage: Eukaryota; Metazoa; Arthropoda; Malacostraca; Decapoda; Penaeidae
Exons: 3
Source: RefSeq, a predicted model, not a curated record